Molecule: RNA transcript, 4011 nt
Organism: Nyctereutes procyonoides (raccoon dog)
Lineage: Eukaryota; Metazoa; Chordata; Mammalia; Carnivora; Canidae
Gene: MTRR
Gene name: 5-methyltetrahydrofolate-homocysteine methyltransferase reductase
Exons: 16
Source: RefSeq, a predicted model, not a curated record
CGCUGGCGGGGCGCGCGCCGCGACGUAGUGCGCAGGCGCCGGAGCCGGGCAGGCUGUGUCCCGCGCUCUCCGGGAGCGACCCCUGCGGUGGCCCCUCAGGUAAUUGUUAAUUUAUAGCCUAUGCUGUGAGGUGAUGAGGAGGUUUUUGUUACUCUAUGCUACACAGAAAGGACAGGCAAAGGCCAUAGCAGAAGAAAUAUGUGAAAAAGCAUUUGCACAUGGAUUUUCUGCAGAUCUUCACUGUAUUAGCGAGUCGGAUAAGUAUGAUCUGAAAACCGAAACGGCACCUCUUGUAGUGGUGGUUUCCACCACGGGUACCGGAGACCCACCCGACACUGCACGCAAGUUCGUGAAAGAAAUACAGGACAAGGCUCUGCCCAUAGAUUUCUUUGCUCACCUGCGGUAUGGAUUACUGGGGCUGGGUGACUCAGAAUAUACAUACUUCUGUAACGGUGGGAAGAUCAUUGAUAAGCGACUUCAGGAGCUUGGUGCCCAGCAUUUCUAUGACACCGGACACGCGGAUGACUGUGUAGGUUUAGAACUUGUGGUUGAGCCAUGGAUUAACGGACUUUGGGCUGCCCUCACGAAGCACUUUAUGUCCAGUAAAGAAAAAGAGAGGAAUGAAGCUCUCAAGAUGGCAUCUAAUGCCUCCCAAAGGAUGGAACCUGUGAAACCAGAAUUAUUAUAUAUUGAAUCACAAGUUGAACUUCUGAGAUUAGAUGAUCUGGGGAGAAAGGAUUCUGAAGUUCAGGAACAGAAUGCAGUGAAUAGAGAUCAGUCGAGUGCUCCGACAGCAGAAUCUGAGUCCUCACUUACCCACUCGAUACCCCCACUCUCACAAGCCUCUCUGAGUAUUCCCGCCUUACCACCAGAAUAUUUGCAGGUGCAUCUGCAGGAGUCUGUCGGCCAGGAGGAAAGCCAAGCAUCUGUGACUUCAGUGGAUCCAAUUUUUCAAGUUCCAAUUUCAAAAGCAGUUCAACUGACUACAAAUGAUGCCAUAAAAACCACUCUUCUGGUGGAAUUGGACAUUUCAAAAACAGAUUUUUCCUAUCAACCUGGAGAUGCCUUCAACGUGAUCUGUCCCAACAGUGAUUCUGAGGUACAAAACCUACUGGAAAGACUGCAGCUCACAGACAGAAGAGAGUACUGUGUCCUCUUGAAAAUUAAGGCAGACACAAAAAAGAAAGGAGCGGCCUUACCCCAGCACAUACCUGAGGGACGUUCUCUCCAGUUCAUUCUGACCUGGUGCCUUGAAAUACGAGCCGUUCCUAAAAAGGCAUUGUUGAGAGCCCUCGUGGACUACACCAGUGACGGGAUAGAGAAGCGAAGGCUGCAGGAGCUGUGCAGUCGGCAGGGUGCAGCCGAUUACAGCCGUUUUGUGCGAGAUGCCCAUGCCAGUGUGUUAGACCUCCUCCUCGCUUUCCCGUCCUGCCAGCCGCCACUCAGUCUCCUGCUUGAACAUCUUCCUAAGCUUCAGCCCAGACCAUAUUCAUGUGCAAGCUCAAACCUGUCUCACCCAGGGAAGCUUCAUUUCAUUUUUAACAUUGUGGAGUUUCUGUCUAACACCACCUUGGAGGUUCUGCGGAAGGGCGUGUGCACAGGCUGGCUGGCCAUGGUGGUUGCGCCAAUUCUUCAUCCAAACACACGAGUGUCCCCUGCAGAAGACGGGAAAGCUCCGGCUCCUGAGAUAUCCAUCUGUCCUCGAACAACCAAUUUCUUCCAUUUACCAAGUGACCCCUCAGCCCCCAUCAUAAUGGUGGGUCCGGGAACUGGCAUAGCGCCCUUCAUUGGUUUUCUGCAACACAGAGAGAAACUCCAAGAACAACAUCCAGAGGGACACUUUGGAGCAACGUGGUUGUUUUUUGGCUGUCGACAUAAAGAUAGGGAUUAUUUAUUCAGAGAAGAACUCAGAUAUUUCCACAAGCGUGGAAUCCUAACUCACUUGAAGGUUUCCUUCUCAAGAGAUGCUCCUGUUGGGGAAGAAGCAGCCCCAGUGAAGUAUGUGCAAGAUAACAUCCAGCUUCACAGUGAACAGGUGGCAAGGGUCCUUCUUAAUGAAAGCGGCUAUAUUUAUGUGUGUGGAGAUGCUAAGAAUAUGGCCAAAGAUGUCAAUGAUACCCUUGUGGAAAUAAUAAGCAAACAGGCUGGAGUUGAAACACUAGAAGCAAUGAAAAGAUUGGCUACUUUAAAAGAGGAAAAACGAUACCUUCAGGAUAUUUGGUCAUAAAAUCAGAAAAUGAAGGAAGAGAAUGAUGCUUUUUUGGCUUAAAGUACUAAAAGACAGUUUUACUGAAAUGGAGACUUUUAAUUUUUAAAAUUAAAAACAAUUUAACUUUGGAAGAAGUACAGUGGGAGUGGACCACUUACCUUUAUAGCAGACUUCCCAUGGGUUUUCCAUCAGUGCCUCUGUGCUCCCCACACUGCUUUAGCGUGGAGGCCGCCUGCACUGAGGGGCAGCCCUUCUGCACCAGCACCCCCAUCCCCACCCACCGUGGCCGCUGCAUCCUGGAGAAUCACAGGGAGUACGUCUGCAUGUCUGUGAUGAGGCUUCCCAGCACAGACAUGGGCAUUAGCUAGCCACGCAGAUGGUUAAAGCUUCUGAACUUACUGUUGCCAGUUUUUAAAAAUAAGGUGAAAAAUGCUCUAAAAUAGAAGUCGAACCAUGAAAAGGCUCUCCCUGCUGAAAUGAUAUGCUCAUUAUGAAGCUCUGCAUGGAGCAAAGGCAAAUAUUGAAAAGUCUACCUAAACCUUUGAAGUGCAUUGCAAUCUGAACAUCAGCGCGGCCACCAGAGGUGCUUCUUAGAUUUUUGUUCUCUGCUGUACGCAAUGUUUUCUCUGAGCCAUCUUUUCUUUUCUGAUGUGAAAUUUUAAAUCAAGUAAAUCAGUAAAAAAUAUUUACAAACAUCCCGAACCAACACUAAAAAUCAUAUAGUAAACUCAAGCUUUAAAAUCACUUCUUGAAGAUCAGUACAUAGACGCAAUGGAGAAAGCCAUUAACUCUGAAACCAUAAAGUAGAAGCAAAUGGAAAUUUACACAGAAAAAAAAAUCAAAUUUCAAGGCAGAAUGUCAGGGGAAAGGACAAAAGAUACUGUCUUCGUGUUGCCAGAAGGAACAGCAGGGCUUGUUUGAAUGGUUUUUAUUAAUUUCACCAAGAACUGGACACUUCUCCAAAAGCCAUGGCUUAAAUAUUCUCAAUGUUUGUUAACAUUCAGUCAUGUUCUCAGAUUCCUUUGGAUGUCUUUUCCUUCACAGAAGUUGAUCGUGAAGUUUCUGGGGCAGAUAUCUUCAGGAAAAUACUUCAGCUGCAGAGACAUUUGAAGCCUUUAGACUCAAUCCUGAAAAACAAAGAUACCAACUCUAUUUCAACUUCUGGAAUUUAUUGUGAAAUGUGAUUUUCAGAAAUCUCUGACGAGCCCAUGCUUGUAUGUAAGACUUUUCCUAACAAUUCUUAAAUCUGUUUGCUCAUGUGAAAAAAAAUUCGUAAUUAAAAUUAAGAAGUAUUUUUUGAUUAGCUAGGGGUGAAGAAAUCGGGCAAAUCUUGUUCUAUGUCACAUUGAACAUGAAUGUGCUAAGACGUUAAUUUUGACAAAUAUGCCAAAAUUAAGAGUCAAAAUUAGACACUGCAAUGUAAUUCAUUCAGGUAUUAGACCAAUAUGUAGCUUUAAGUUCCCCUUGUUUUUCAAGAAAAUGUAUUAGUGGCUUAACUGGCACAAUUAUAUACACAUAGAUCAAGUUCAAUAAAAGGGAAUUUUUACUGUGUUUCCUUCCUGCCAUUAUUAUCAUUAUGUAUUUCAUUAACAGAAUUACUGCUGGAAAUGAUGUAGGAGGUGAUGCUAAACGGUGAUCUGCUUGGGGUAUGAAAUGUACUCAGUAGGUCACUGCUGGUCCCAACCAUGGCUUCAGAAAGAGCAAGCGGUGUGGGUCAUAAUAAUAUAUAACACAGCCUCCUGAGGAAAGAGCUUUCUAUCAUGUGGGAGGAAGAAUUUCUUUAAAAAAAAAUGAAAGAAAAA